This 1414-nucleotide long non-coding RNA is filed under the name Scophthalmus maximus (turbot). RNAcentral's name for it is "lncRNA (ENSSMAG00000033822.1)". Lineage: Eukaryota; Metazoa; Chordata; Actinopteri; Pleuronectiformes; Scophthalmidae. The record is from RNAcentral.
CUCGGAAUUAAGACCUCCGAGUCAGAAAUUGGCCCCUGCGAGUCGGAAUCCCAACAACCCGACAUCCGGGGUCCGAGGUAAACUGGAACGCAGCAUGACUAUCUUUGGUGUGUGGACAAAACAAAUCAAUAAUUUUGGUGGUUUGGGAAACACAAUCAACAUUUUUCCCUAUUUUAUGGAACAAACAACUAAUCGAUUAAUGAAGAAAAUAGUCGACAGAUUAAUCGAUGACUUGAUGAUAGCAUUUUUGUGUAUAGUCUGACAAUUUCAUUCCCUUUAAAUCUGAGCCUGCAGGGCAGUAUUACAGCCGGUAACAACACACCCCAACAGAAAAAACACACAAGCCAAAACGUUCAAUGUUUCCCAACAGUGUACUAUACAAAAAAAAAAACGUGCACCUUCGAAACCACGCACAGUAAUAUUCCCCCCAAAAACCCCUUGAGUCUCUUUCUCAGUCCAUAUGUACAAGUCUUUAUACAAGUAAGGGCAUUUGUAUGCCUUUUAUGGGCUCGGUUUAUAGGUCGCCAAAAGUCAGUUGGAGUGACACCUCCUGUUCCGUUUGCAGCUAUGUGUGCCGGUUGGCGCGGCGUUACCUCGAGUUCCCGGAAGACGGAGAGCGGACACCGGCGACGCGCAGGUCCGCGGCUGUGGUCGGUGGGGAGGGUGGGAGUGUCAGUGACCCUCACCCUGCGUGGAUUAGCCGAGUGAUUCCGGAAUACCGAGCGCCAGCGGCGGUGAACCCUCCGACGUACCGAACACGCGAUGCGAGGGAUCGUCUCAGAUUUUCUAGCUAUUUCGGUGGAAUGGUACACUUUUUUGUUGCAGACUACCGAACGUCUCUUCUUUUCUGACGACAACAGUGAAUGACAGACAAAGUGAGGCUGUUGUGUAUCAUACGAGUAGGAGAGUGUUGACAUGUUGCACCGUACCCUAAUGGAUGCUUAUAGAUCCACAGCUUUGAGAAAUGGAGGAUUUCAUGGGCCCUUCGGUUGGAGUACACUUGAAAAGGGUGCUUACAUUCUGCGAAUGCACGCGUCCUCCCUCACACUGAAGGAUGAAAGCUCUCGGGAAUAUGAAAAGCCUCUUGAAAUCUUCAAAUGUACCUCCUGAAACUUCUCUCACCCUGACCCCGCUCCUCGAAAAAAUGAAAGGAAGGCGGACAAAAAGUUUAAAGUUUGGCAAGUUUAACAUGUUGUUAAACUUGCAUGUCGGCCUAAUGUCGGCCACGUUAGAUGUUUUCCUGACAAAUGCAAGUUGUGUGAGCCAUGUCCAUGUCAUAAUUCUAACCAAGCAUUCAUUUUAUGUCUGAAAUCGAUAAAAGAGUAAAUUGCAUUCGACAGCAUUUUCAAAGUGUCCUUGUAUUAAAAAAUAAAAUAAAAAAUACAGCUCAGUAUUAAUCAUCUGGACCUUUUUU